RNAcentral lists this ribosomal RNA (305 nucleotides) under uncultured bacterium. RNAcentral's name for it is "bacterial SSU rRNA". It matches the Rfam family "Bacterial small subunit ribosomal RNA", at positions 338 to 642 of the family's 1533-position model. The record is from RNAcentral.
CCUACGGGGGGCAGCAGUGGGAAAUAUUGCACAAUGGGGGAAACCCUGAUGCAGCGACGCCGCGUGAGUGAAGAAGUAUUUCGGUAUGUAAAGCUCUAUCAGCAGGGAAGAAAUACUGACCUUACGGUCAGCAGACGGUACCUGACUAAGAAGCCCCGGCUAACUACGUGCCAGCAGCCGCGGUAAUACGUAGGGGGCAAGCGUUAUCCGGAAUUACUGGGUGUAAAGGGAGCGUAGACGGCUGUGCAAGUCUGGAGUGAAAGGCGGGGGCCCAACCCCCGGACUGCUCUGGAAACUGUAUGGCU